CAAUAGCGUAUAUUUAAGUUGUUGCAGUUAAAAAGCUCGUAGUUGGAUUUCGGGUGGGACGCAGCGGUCUCGCAUUGCGUUUGUACUGCUGCAGCCCUCCUUCUUGCCGGGGGCGGCCUCUCGGACUUCACUGUCUGGGGGUCAGAAUCGGCGAUGUUACUUUGAGUAAAUUAGAGUGUUCAAAGCAAGCUUACGCUCUGAAUAUAAUAGCAUGGGAUAACACGACAGGACUCUGGCCUAUCGUGUUGGUCUAUAGGACCAGAGUAAUGAUUAAGAGGGACAGUCGGGGGCAUUCGUAUUCCGUUGGCAGAGGUGAAAUUCUUGGAUUUACGGAAGACGAACAUCUGCGAAAGCAUUUGCCAAGGAUGUUUNCAUUGA
RNAcentral lists this ribosomal RNA (378 nucleotides) under uncultured eukaryote. RNAcentral's name for it is "partial 18S ribosomal RNA". It matches the Rfam family "Eukaryotic small subunit ribosomal RNA", at positions 592 to 976 of the family's 1831-position model. The record is from RNAcentral.